Molecule: ribosomal RNA, 254 nt
Filed under: uncultured bacterium
Lineage: Bacteria
Description: partial 16S ribosomal RNA
Rfam family: Bacterial small subunit ribosomal RNA
Source: RNAcentral
UACGUAGGGUGCAAGCGUUGUCCGGAAUUAUUGGGCGUAAAGAGCUCGUAGGCGGUGUGUCGCGUCGGCCGUGAAAACCUGCAGCUUAACUGUGGGCUUGCGGUCGAUACGGGCAUCACUGGAGUUCGGCAGGGGAGACUGGAAUUCCUGGUGUAGCGGUGAAAUGCGCAGAUAUCAGGAGGAACACCGGUGGCGAAGGCGGGUCUCUGGGCCGAUACUGACGCUGAGGAGCGAAAGCAUGGGGAGCGAACAGG